RNAcentral lists this ribosomal RNA (253 nucleotides) under uncultured bacterium. RNAcentral's name for it is "partial 16S ribosomal RNA". It matches the Rfam family "Bacterial small subunit ribosomal RNA", at positions 524 to 776 of the family's 1533-position model. The record is from RNAcentral.
UACGGAGGGUGCGAGCGUUGUCCGGAAUCAUUGGGCGUAAAGGGCGCGUAGGCGGAUAGUUCAGUCGGGGGUGAAAGCCCGGGGCUCAACCUCGGAACUGCCUUCGAUACUGGCUAUCUUGAGUACGGGAGAGGUGUGUGGAACUCCGAGUGUAGAGGUGAAAUUCGUAGAUAUUCGGAAGAACACCAGUGGCGAAGGCGACACACUGGCCCGUUACUGACGCUGAGGCGCGAAAGCGUGGGGAGCAAACAGG